Prionailurus viverrinus (fishing cat) is the source of this 449-nucleotide long non-coding RNA. RefSeq lists it as uncharacterized. The record is from RefSeq and is a predicted model, not a curated record. The transcript is spliced from 3 exons. Lineage: Eukaryota; Metazoa; Chordata; Mammalia; Carnivora; Felidae.
ACAGGGGAGGCUGAGUGCUCUGUAAGACUGAUGCCCCGGGGGAGCAACGUGUCAUUUUUUGUUGCCGCCCCCUACUGUCCCUGUCGUUUCAACCCGACUGAGAAUUCCUUGUCACGUCCUGUUCUGGGCCGUUGUCCGGUGCUCCUCACCCGCCAGCUGUGGCCCAGCUGCUACAUUCUCCAUGGAGGGGGGAGGGGGGGGGUGUCACGCACCUGGUGUGUGAGCUGAUCUCCCCCUUACCCCUGGCGCUAGAAAUCCAGCACGUCAAACUCAGGAGAAUUUAUUUACUCUCCUGGUGUUUUGCCUUCCUUGGAAUGUAAACGUCCCACAACCACACUGAAGGCAGGAUGAACAGUUGAAAGCUGACAAAACGCAAGACGUCACCUGAGCCCUGGGUUAGUUAGGUCUCGAAGUAAAGAAGAAGAAGAGGACGACGACGGAGAAGAAGG